AACCUACCCUGUACACACGGAUAACAUACCGAAAGGUAUGCUAAUACGGGAUAAUAUAUUUGAGAGGCAUCUCUUGAAUAUCAAAGGUGAGCCAGUACAGGAUGGACCCGCGUCUGAUUAGCUAGUUGGUAAGUAACGGCUUACCAAGGCGACGAUCAGUAGCCGACCUGAGAGGGUGAUCGGCCACAUUGGAACUGAGACACGGUCCAA
This 210-nucleotide ribosomal RNA is filed under the name uncultured bacterium. RNAcentral describes it as "partial 16S ribosomal RNA". It matches the Rfam family "Bacterial small subunit ribosomal RNA", at positions 123 to 334 of the family's 1533-position model. The record is from RNAcentral.